AGUGGAGAUUAAAAAGGGAGCCACUACAUAUGGGGUCAGAAGGUUGCCUUUUUUGCUUCCUCUUCCUCUUCGAGUCCCUCAGAUACAAGGGCAAAAACAAGAAUGUUGAUGUUGAAGGGCUGGAGGAGAUGGUAGAUGUUGACAUUGUUUGAAUCCAUAACGGUUCUGUAAAGGAUUUUAUAUCUUUUGAUAUGGCUCAUUUAUGAUCAGCAGAUUGGAAUCAGAAAUUGGCGAUCUUCAUGUAGAUAGUUUUGGGUUAUAAUCAGCCUGGAAUUCUAUUGUUGUUUUGUUUUCUAUCAAUGUCAACAUCUACCAUCUCCUCCAGC
This 326-nucleotide unclassified non-coding RNA is filed under the name Hevea brasiliensis (rubber tree). Lineage: Eukaryota; Viridiplantae; Streptophyta; Magnoliopsida; Malpighiales; Euphorbiaceae. The record is from RNAcentral.